Molecule: RNA transcript, 3462 nt
Organism: Acinonyx jubatus (cheetah)
Lineage: Eukaryota; Metazoa; Chordata; Mammalia; Carnivora; Felidae
Gene: YAF2
Gene name: YY1 associated factor 2
Exons: 5
Source: RefSeq, a predicted model, not a curated record
AGGGCGACAGUACCUACUUGGUAGAGACUUGCGUACAGAAAAUUAGUAUUUUAAGGCACCUAGCAAUGGCGCUCAAUACUGGUUCCCGCCUUCCCCCAGGUGUCUCUCGAGCUGAGCCUGAGCAGUCAAGGACGGUCGAAGCCGGGAAAGCGGUUCUACCUGGAGACCGCUGCCGGGCACUGCUCCCGAACCGGGCUGACCUCCCAACGCCGGCUCCACCCGGGAGCACACGUCCCGCGGGAUGACUGAGCAUCCCUCUGUCAGAGGGGCCCUGCAGCGCGUGGCAGCCACCGCCAGCCAAGGAUGCGGAAAAGAAGCGCGGAGAGCCGAGCGGAGAGGCGGCGGCGCCCGAAGCUGCAGCGACCACCCCCACGCCGCCCGCCCGCGAACUCGCCACGGGUGCUGGGCCGCGCUGGCCGCGUUUGAAGUCUCCGGCGCCGCUGCUGGUUGGCCGGCUCGGGUCACGUGCACCCAGGCAGGCGUUUCCCCGACAGCUGGAGGCUGCGUGGGAUCCGGCGGCGGCUCCGGAGCUCGGCGGUGCGGCCUUCCCCGCCCCCUCCUCCCUCCUCCCCCGCCCGCUUCCGCCCGGCUUAUUAUCCUCCUUAUUGACAAACAGAGCGGCCGCGGCGGCGACUCUCCGCGUGCAUCUGUAGCCAAGCCAUGGGAGACAAGAAGAGCCCCACCAGGCCGAAGCGGCAGCCGAAGCCGUCCUCGGAUGAGGGUUACUGGGACUGUAGCGUCUGCACCUUCCGGAACAGCGCCGAGGCCUUCAAGUGCAUGAUGUGCGAUGUGCGGAAGGGCACCUCCACCCGAUCCACAUUCUUUGAAGUUAUUGUGAAUGCCUCGAGGACCAAGGAACCGUUGAAAUUUCCAAUUUCAGGAAGUUCCAGUGGAUGCCCAUCAGGAAGAUUCUCAUGCUGGACAGAAGGGCAAGAGAGGUGGAUCUGUGAGGGAAAAGACCCAAUAGGAUAACUCAAGUUACUGGAAUAAGAAUCCAGUUGCUGGGGAGAUAGAACACAGCCAUGGAAGGAUCAACAGCAUUACAGAGGAGUGUAGAAGACCAGGAUUCUGCAGAAGUGCUGCAGGGGCUCCACAAAUACUUGAUGCACAUUUCUUUUAAAAAUAUUUUAUCAUUAAAAAAAUCUAAAAUAACAUGUUACAUAAAUGGGUUCUGUGCAACAAAUAGACCAUGCAUGGAAGGAAAACCACUAAAGCUAAUUAUUUUGCAGAUUAGCUCAUUCUUUUUUUUUUGUUUGUUUGUUUUUUUACAAUUGUAAAAUAAAGUAGCAAAUCCUUUAUUUGUGUUUCUUGAAACUGUGAAAAGAGAGCCCUAGCCACAUUUUUUUAGUUAUCAUUUUCCCUCUUCCACCUCUGUCCUCACAUAAUAGUUUUGCUCCCAACCUACAGUUCUCAAAACCUCUUCAACCCCCACAACCCAACAAAACAAAACCUCUCUCAUUAGUGUCUUUCUAAUUUCCUUCUUAUUCUCCAUCACAAAAUCUCAAAAACGGAUUUAUUUAAAAAAAAAAAAAAGAAAAAAAAAAGAUCUACUUCAGAAAGCCUGGGAGAGAAAGAGUCUUUGAGCAGACUGCAGAAUGCUCCCCUAGACUACAGGAGAAAUCUGAGAAAUCCAGGGAGUUCACACUGAGUGAUUUAUAUCCUUUUGUGCUUGUUAACCCUUUAUAGGCUACAUGGUGCUAGAGCUCUCUGAUAAGUCUUCAAAUGAUAAUAUACUAGAUGAAUUUUUCCACAAACCCAAGAAACAGUACAGAACGUUAUAUUUUUAAGGACAAAAAGGAAACAGGGCUUCUCACGUGAGUAGUUAUUCAACAGAAAGGAUUUUAUCAUGCAAUAUUUUGCAACAAUGAACCUGAGCCAUCUUGUUUUGCUGUAAGACGUGUGAUUGUAUUCUUUCAUCUUCUCUGAUAUUUGGCAUCAAAAUUUACGUGAUAUGAUUCAUAAGUAGAUUCUGAAGGAUAGGCACGUAUACCUAGUCUAAAAAUGAAACCAUAAUUUUGGAGCAAAGAAAAUGGUUGUCCUCUCUUCAAAAAAUUACGAGCCAUUACGGUUUUCAAAGUAAAAUGUUCUGGUAAUGCCAGUGCAAAGAAGUGGAAGCAAAGAUAAGCCAAAAUCUAGUAGAGGUGUGUUUGAAAUCAUGAAAUCAGUAUUACAAGGUAAGUAUAGUCCUAAGAUUAGGCCUAGUAGCUGAUGAGGAGUUAGUCAAAUUAAAAAAAAACUUUAUCUAUGGAUAUGAGGGAGAUCUGGCUGUGACAUCUGUCACCCCAUUGAUCGCUAGGGUUGAUUUGGCUGAUCUGGCUGGCUAGGUGGGUGUCCCCUUCCUCCCUCACCACUCCAUAUGCGUCCCUCCCGAAGCUGCGCGCUUCUUUGAAGAGGACGACCUUCCGGAUAGAGGAGGACCGUUUGGUCAAGGGUAUACGAGUAGCUGCACUCCCCUGCUAGAACCUCCAAACAAGCUUUCAAGGUCCAUUUGUAGGAGAACGUAGGGUAGUCAAGCUUCCAAAACUCCAAAAACAUCCAAAUGAGGCACUGCACAUGGCAGUCUGCUUUUCUUUAAUUAAUAAAUAAUAAAUAAAUAAAUAAAUAAAUAAAUAAAUAAAUAAAUAAAUAAAUAAAUCUUUACCUAUUUCAGGUCUAUAUACUUUUAAAACCACAUUAUUACAGAAUAGAAAUUUGGGUUUAGUAUGUUUUUCAAGUCUUAGUAAAAUUUUUAACAUUGAUUGAAUUUUAUUACUUUUUCUUCUGUACAUUAUUCAUGAAAUGACUUAAAGUAUUUUUUAUUUUUAUUUUUUUAACUGUAUUUAUUUAUUUUGAGAGAGAGACAGAGCAAGUGCUCAUGAAUGGGGCAAGGCAGAAAGGGAGGGAGUGGAGAGAGAAUCCUAGCCAGGCUCCACACUGUCAGCCCAGAGCCAAGUGCGGGAAUCGAUCUCAUGAACUGUAAGAUCAUGGCCUGAGCCAAAAUCAAGAGUCAGACACUUGAUCACCUUUAAGGUGCCCCUUAAAGGAUGUUUUUUAAAAAGACCCAUGUUGGGGCUCCUGGGUAGCUCAGUCGGUUAAAGCGUCCAACUUGGGUUCAGGUCAUGGUCUCUCAAUUGGUGAGUUUGAGCCUCGAGUAGGGAACUGUGCUGACAGCUCAGAGGACACUAAAGCAGCCUGGAGCUGCUUCGGAUUCUGUGUCUCCCUCUUUCUCUGCCCCUUCCCCACUCGCGCGCUCUCUCUCUCUCUCUCUUUUUCUCUCUCUCUCUCUCAAAAAUAAACAUUAAAAAAAUUAGGGGUGCCUGGGUGGCUUAGUAGGUUAAGUGUCGGGGUCAUGAUCUCAUGGUUUUUGAGUUCGAGCCCCAAAUGGAGCUCUGCGCUGACAGGGCAGACUGCUUGGGAUUCUCUCUCUUGCCUUCUCUCUGCCCCUCCUCCUUCCCUCCGUAUCCCUCUCUCUCUCUCUCUGUC